CCACGAGGCGCUGUCUACGA
Molecule: small nuclear RNA, 20 nt
Filed under: Arabidopsis thaliana (thale cress)
Lineage: Eukaryota; Viridiplantae; Streptophyta; Magnoliopsida; Brassicales; Brassicaceae
Description: snRNA_05283
Source: RNAcentral